This is a long non-coding RNA of Camelina sativa (false flax), 341 nucleotides long. RefSeq lists it as uncharacterized. NCBI's taxonomy places the organism in Eukaryota, Viridiplantae, Streptophyta, Magnoliopsida, Brassicales, Brassicaceae. The record is from RefSeq and is a predicted model, not a curated record.
AACAAGACAGGCCCAGCUUAAAAAAAUUGAGGCCCCUGGUUAAUUUAAUCACGUGUUGGUGGGGGAGAGAGAGUAGAACGUCGGAAGAAGAGCAAACCCUAAUUUUUUGGAUUGGAGAGCGAGGAGACACCCCCCACACCAGAGUAGAAGAAAUGUGGAGUCGGAUUUUCCCACCAAGUCGGUAUAUACAGGGUUAUAUAGGAUAUGGCAUUCCAGGUUCUGUUGGAUUUUUGGGCUACACAAUUUGGGAAUUGAGAAGGAGUAAGAGAAACAUGAAGAGGAUGGAGGAAAUAGUAGAAGAAGUAAACGACAGGAUUAAUCGUACGACCGAAAAAAGGAAU